Molecule: ribosomal RNA, 1443 nt
Filed under: uncultured organism
Description: 16S ribosomal RNA
Rfam family: Bacterial small subunit ribosomal RNA
Source: RNAcentral
CAGGCUUAACACAUGCAAGUCGAGGGGCAGCAUAGUCUUAGCUUGCUAAGGCCGAUGGCGACCGGCGCACGGGUGAGUAACACGUAUCCAACCUGCCGUCUACUCUUGGACAGCCUUCUGAAAGGAAGAUUAAUACAAGAUGGCAUCAUGAGUCCGCAUGUUCACAUGAUUAAAGGUAUUCCGGUAGACGAUGGGGAUGCGUUCCAUUAGAUAGUAGGCGGGGUAACGGCCCACCUAGUCUUCGAUGGAUAGGGGUUCUGAGAGGAAGGUCCCCCACAUUGGAACUGAGACACGGUCCAAACUCCUACGGGAGGCAGCAGUGAGGAAUAUUGGUCAAUGGGCGAGAGCCUGAACCAGCCAAGUAGCGUGAAGGAUGACUGCCCUAUGGGUUGUAAACUUCUUUUAUAAAGGAAUAAAGUCGGGUAUGGAUACCCGUUUGCAUGUACUUUAUGAAUAAGGAUCGGCUAACUCCGUGCCAGCAGCCGCGGUAAUACGGAGGAUCCGAGCGUUAUCCGGAUUUAUUGGGUUUAAAGGGAGCGUAGAUGGAUGUUUAAGUCAGUUGUGAAAGUUUGCGGCUCAACCGUAAAAUUGCAGUUGAUACUGGAUAUCUUGAGUGCAGUUGAGGCAGGCGGAAUUCGUGGUGUAGCGGUGAAAUGCUUAGAUAUCACGAAGAACUCCGAUUGCGAAGGCAGCCUGCUAAGCUGCAACUGACAUUGAGGCUCGAAAGUGUGGGUAUCAAACAGGAUUAGAUACCCUGGUAGUCCACACGGUAAACGAUGAAUACUCGCUGUUUGCGAUAUACUGCAAGCGGCCAAGCGAAAGCGUUAAGUAUUCCACCUGGGGAGUACGCCGGCAACGGUGAAACUCAAAGGAAUUGACGGGGGCCCGCACAAGCGGAGGAACAUGUGGUUUAAUUCGAUGAUACGCGAGGAACCUUACCCGGGCUUAAAUUGCAGAUGAAUUACGGUGAAAGCCGUAAGCCGCAAGGCAUCUGUGAAGGUGCUGCAUGGUUGUCGUCAGCUCGUGCCGUGAGGUGUCGGCUUAAGUGCCAUAACGAGCGCAACCCUUGUUGUCAGUUACUAACAGGUUCCGCUGAGGACUCUGACAAGACUGCCAUCGUAAGAUGUGAGGAAGGUGGGGAUGACGUCAAAUCAGCACGGCCCUUACGUCCGGGGCUACACACGUGUUACAAUGGGGGGUACAGAGGGCCGCUACCACGCGAGUGGAUGCCAAUCCCCAAAACCUCUCUCAGUUCGGACUGGAGUCUGCAACCCGACUCCACGAAGCUGGAUUCGCUAGUAAUCGCGCAUCAGCCACGGCGCGGUGAAUACGUUCCCGGGCCUUGUACACACCGCCCGUCAAGCCAUGGGAGCCGGGGGUACCUGAAGUGCGUAACCGCGAGGAGCGCCCUAGGGUAAAACUGGUGACUGGGGCUAAGUCGUA